GGCCCCUUAGCUCAGUAGGAUGAGAGCAAUCGCCUUCUAAGCGAUAGGCCGCUGGUUCGAGCCCAGCAGGGGCCG
This 75-nucleotide transfer RNA is filed under the name Kofleriaceae bacterium. RNAcentral describes it as "tRNA-Arg". It matches the Rfam family "tRNA". From Rfam's summary of the family: Transfer RNA (tRNA) molecules are approximately 80 nucleotides in length. Their secondary structure includes four short double-helical elements and three loops (D, anti-codon, and T loops). Further hydrogen bonds mediate the characteristic L-shaped molecular structure. tRNAs have two regions of fundamental functional importance: the anti-codon, which is responsible for specific mRNA codon recognition, and the 3' end, to which the tRNAs corresponding amino acid is attached (by aminoacyl-tRNA synthetases). tRNAs cope with the degeneracy of the genetic code in two manners: having more than one tRNA (with a specific anti-codon) for a particular amino acid; and 'wobble' base-pairing, i.e. permitting non-standard base-pairing at the 3rd anti-codon position. The record is from RNAcentral. Lineage: Bacteria; Pseudomonadati; Myxococcota; Haliangiales; Kofleriaceae.